AUUUGGAAGCGCUAGCGAGCUAACAAAAACCGGUAUUUGGUCUGCAAAUGGAGUAUUUUAACGUCUCUCCAAUAUUCUCUAGCGUGUACCCUUGUGAUCACAAACUGAAUAUGGAAUUAGCCGAAAAUCCCCCAAAAUACACUGGCUAAGCUCGUGGUGAACCGGGUGGACCUAACAUACGAAAAUCCCAUUAUUGAAUUACCCACCGUACUACCCCUGUUCCGCUGGGCAUGAACCUUCCUUCUCCCGGUGGCAAAUAUGCGCCGAACCUAAAAGACCGCCACACAGCAGGCAGCAGCAACAUCAUGGAAAAGGAAAAUCUUUCUCCCGUCGAACCUUCUGUAUCCUUUUAACUGGUGGUGAUUCUCCCUUCCCGCUUCUCCCUCAGCCAGUGCAAAUUGUUGCGGUUGUUUGCAGAAAAGAAAAGCGCCGCGGCGUUGGGGGCGAGAAACAACCGAAAAAAAAGGAAUCCACACAGACACAAAUGGAGACUCCAGUGAAUAAAAUGCAACAUUCAAAAACCAAUCUACAGAAUGUGCCCGGAGGAUGCCCGGGCUGCCACGUGGUAGUGCUUCGUGCGAACCUCUGUCGUCCCCUCAAUCCCGGCGGUGGCUUUCCCCGGGAUUUGCCGUGCCUGGAAGUUGCUCUGUUUCUCGGCAUUGGUGUGCUGGCGAGCCGUUUUGGUACGGGAUCCUUGGAACACUCUUUACCCAGCGCGUUUUGCUAUUCAUUCGCAUUUUGGAUGGAUUUGAAUUGCAACGAAGAAACAAUAACCGAAUCUGAGGAUUUUGCAGCGACUUGUUGGGGGGAGAAUUGUGAGUAUGUUUUAAAAAAGGAGAGCUCUUUAAAAGGACAGAAGUAGAGGGAAAAAACACUAAAAUGCACUGAGUUAUUACAGCUCUUCCCCAAGUCUUCAGAACAAAAGAUGUUAUAAGUUUUAGAGGGGGAAGAAAUGGUCGGUAGACAUCAAAUUAAUUGAUCCGACGGUAGACACUGUCCCGGACAUAAUGGACAAGGCCAUUUCAAAAUCGAAAAGACGUGCUAGCUCAGCUUCAAAUGAUAAUCAGGCUGCUGGAACCGCAUUGACGCUUGUUAUCGGUUACUUCAUUUCCGUUCGGCGGAUGGCGGUCACGGUUCUCAUCAAUCUUGGGCUUUUAGAAUCGAGAGCAAGUAAAAAAAAGUGAAAGGUUCUGGACUCCUAGAUACUGGCGGUAUUAAUGUACAGAAAAGUGACACCGAUAAUUGAAUUCUUCAAAUUUCCGGACCGACGCGCUUCAAUUUCCC
This is a long non-coding RNA of Anopheles arabiensis, 1284 nucleotides long. RefSeq lists it as uncharacterized. NCBI's taxonomy places the organism in Eukaryota, Metazoa, Arthropoda, Insecta, Diptera, Culicidae. The transcript is spliced from 4 exons. The record is from RefSeq and is a predicted model, not a curated record.